Molecule: ribosomal RNA, 935 nt
Filed under: Salmonella enterica subsp. enterica serovar Chester
Lineage: Bacteria; Pseudomonadati; Pseudomonadota; Gammaproteobacteria; Enterobacterales; Enterobacteriaceae
Description: bacterial SSU rRNA
Rfam family: Bacterial small subunit ribosomal RNA
Source: RNAcentral
ACCUUCGGGCCUCUUGCCAUCAGAUGUGCCCAGAUGGGAUUAGCUUGUUGGUGAGGUAACGGCUCACCAAGGCGACGAUCCCUAGCUGGUCUGAGAGGAUGACCAGCCACACUGGAACUGAGACACGGUCCAGACUCCUACGGGAGGCAGCAGUGGGGAAUAUUGCACAAUGGGCGCAAGCCUGAUGCAGCCAUGCCGCGUGUAUGAAGAAGGCCUUCGGGUUGUAAAGUACUUUCAGCGGGGAGGAAGGUGUUGUGGUUAAUAACCACAGCAAUUGACGUUACCCGCAGAAGAAGCACCGGCUAACUCCGUGCCAGCAGCCGCGGUAAUACGGAGGGUGCAAGCGUUAAUCGGAAUUACUGGGCGUAAAGCGCACGCAGGCGGUCUGUCAAGUCGGAUGUGAAAUCCCCGGGCUCAACCUGGGAACUGCAUUCGAAACUGGCAGGCUUGAGUCUUGUAGAGGGGGGUAGAAUUCCAGGUGUAGCGGUGAAAUGCGUAGAGAUCUGGAGGAAUACCGGUGGCGAAGGCGGCCCCCUGGACAAAGACUGACGCUCAGGUGCGAAAGCGUGGGGAGCAAACAGGAUUAGAUACCCUGGUAGUCCACGCCGUAAACGAUGUCUACUUGGAGGUUGUGCCCUUGAGGCGUGGCUUCCGGAGCUAACGCGUUAAGUAGACCGCCUGGGGAGUACGGCCGCAAGGUUAAAACUCAAAUGAAUUGACGGGGGCCCGCACAAGCGGUGGAGCAUGUGGUUUAAUUCGAUGCAACGCGAAGAACCUUACCUGGUCUUGACAUCCACAGAACUUUCCAGAGAUGGAUUGGUGCCUUCGGGAACUGUGAGACAGGUGCUGCAUGGCUGUCGUCAGCUCGUGUUGUGAAAUGUUGGGUUAAGUCCCGCAACGAGCGCAACCCUUAUCCUUUGUUGCCAGCGGUCCGG